UUCUUAUUAAGCCGUGGUCGCGUUAAGUCAUCAACCGCAUUUCGUUAAAUUAAAAUUGUUAAAAAGUGUUAUUAAAUCAAGAAAAACUUAAAGCAAAUUAUAAUAAAAAUCUAGUAGAAUGCAUAUUUUAUUGGAAAUAAUAGUUUUUUGUUAAAAAAGGCGUCUCACAUUAAUAAGUAAAGAGUAAAAAUUCCCCUAAAAUGUGUAAAGUUGUGUUAUUGAAAAUUAAAAAAUAAAUAAAUAAAAAAGUAUCUAAAAAAAUAAAAAAUGUAAAUGAAGCUUAAAAAAUAAAAAAAAAAUUAAUAAAAGUUCAUUAUGUCGUUUUUUAAUAAAAUAAAUAUAAAUUUAAAAAAUGUGAGUGUUAUGAAAAUUAAAGCAAUUUAAAUUAUCCAACUGUCGGAGACUUAAAAACCUUAACAAGUACAAACAGGUAAAUUUA
This is a long non-coding RNA of Lucilia cuprina (Australian sheep blowfly), 439 nucleotides long. RefSeq lists it as uncharacterized. Lineage: Eukaryota; Metazoa; Arthropoda; Insecta; Diptera; Calliphoridae. The transcript is spliced from 2 exons. The record is from RefSeq and is a predicted model, not a curated record.